AAGAGAUGAGGAUGAUCCAGAGAGGUUAAUCUGGCUGCAGUUAUCAGAUCUCUGGGGGUUGCCAACUACAAAGAAGGAACACACAAAGAGUCCACAACAUGCAAGUGUGGAGAAGAGCAAACCACAGACCACUUACUACAAUGCAGUCUGAGGCCUGCCACAUGCACAAUGGAGGACCUUCUUACAGCAACACCAGAGUCACUCCAAGUGGCCAGCUUUUGGUCAAGGGAAAUUUAGUAAAAUGCUAAAUGUUUAACUUUGUUUGCGGUUUUCCUAUACAUUAUAACUGUAUUCUCAAUUCGCUUCUGACACAAUAAAUAAAUAAACACA
Long non-coding RNA from Anolis carolinensis (green anole), 330 nucleotides. RefSeq lists it as uncharacterized. The transcript has 2 exons. The record is from RefSeq and is a predicted model, not a curated record. Lineage: Eukaryota; Metazoa; Chordata; Lepidosauria; Squamata; Anolidae.